UACGACAUCCGGGUUGGCAGAGUGUGCUAAAGCAGUGAGUAAAACAAACUUGGGGAGUAGGCUUCUAAUGUUAACAUGCAUGAAACCAAGGCUUUUACGGUUACAGAAGUCAACAAAUGAGAGCACCUGGGGAUUGGGAGUGGAGCUAGGCACUGCAGGACCUGGAUUAACCUCCACAUCACCAGAGGAACAGAGGAGAAGUAGGAUAAGGAUGAACUCUCGCGUCUUGUGACGGCCGGCCGCCCAACAACCUGUCCACUUGACCCUAUCCCCUCCUCUCUUCUCCAGACCAUUUCCGGAGACCUUCUCCCCUACCUCACCUCGCUCAUCAACGCAUCCUUGACCGCUGGCUAUGUCCCUUCCGUCGUCAAGAGAGCGAGAGUUGCACCCCUUCUGAAAAAACCUACACUCGAUCCCUCCGAUGUCAACAACUACAGACCUAUCUGCUGCCUUUGAUACCGUGAACCAUCAGAUCCUCCUCUCCACCCUCUCCGAGCUGGGCAUCUCCGGCACCGCGCACGCUUGGAUUGCGUCCUACCUGACAGGUCGCUCCUACCAGGUGGCGAAUCGCAUCUCUGCAUGUCUGGCAGACAUAUCAGUGUGGAUGACGGAUCACCACCUCAAGCUGAACCUCGGCAAGACGGAGCUGCUCUUCC
RNAcentral lists this long non-coding RNA (656 nucleotides) under Salmo salar (Atlantic salmon). RNAcentral describes it as "lncRNA (ENSSSAG00000119465.1)". Lineage: Eukaryota; Metazoa; Chordata; Actinopteri; Salmoniformes; Salmonidae. The record is from RNAcentral.